AACGAACGCUGGCGGCGUGGAUUAGGCAUGCAAGUCGAACGCGAAAGAGGGAGCAAUCCCUCGAGUAGAGUGGCGAACGGGUGAGUAACGCGUGAAGAACCUGCCUUUGACAGGGGGAUAACACUCCCAACGGGGUGCUAAUACCGCAUGAGACCACGGGGUCGCAUGGCCCUGAGGUCAAAGGUGGCCUCUAUUUAUAAGCUACCGGUCGAAGAUGGCUUCGCGUCCCAUUAGCUAGUUGGCGGUGUAAGAGACCACCAAGGCGACGAUGGGUAGCUGGUCUGAGAGGAUGGUCAGCCACACUGGGACUGAGAUACGGCCCAGACUCCUACGGGAGGCAGCAGUCGAGAGGCUUCGGCAAUGGGGGAGACCCUGACCGAGCGACGCCGCGUGGAGGAUGAAGGCCCUUGGGUUGUAAACUCCUUUUGUUGGGGAAGAAAUGCGAUCAGGUGAACAAUCUGGUCGUUUGACGGUACCCGACGAAUAAGCUCCGGCUAACUCCGUGCC
Molecule: ribosomal RNA, 507 nt
Filed under: uncultured bacterium
Lineage: Bacteria
Description: bacterial SSU rRNA
Rfam family: Bacterial small subunit ribosomal RNA
Source: RNAcentral